CUUUCCUUGACGACGACUGGCGCACGGGUGAGUAACGCGUAUCCAACCUUCCCAUGACCACGGGAUAACCCGUUGAAAGACGGCCUAAUACCGUAUGACGUCGUUUGCCGACAUCGAAAGACGACCAAAGGUUUGGCGGUGAUGGAUGGGGAUGCGUCUGAUUAGCUUGUUGGCGGGGUAACGGCCCACCAAGGCUACGAUCAGUAGGGGUUCUGAGAGGAAGGUCCCCCCACAUUGGAACUGAGACACGGUCCAAACUCCUACGGGAGGCAGCAGAA
Molecule: ribosomal RNA, 278 nt
Filed under: uncultured Prevotella sp.
Lineage: Bacteria; Pseudomonadati; Bacteroidota; Bacteroidia; Bacteroidales; Prevotellaceae
Description: partial 16S ribosomal RNA
Rfam family: Bacterial small subunit ribosomal RNA
Source: RNAcentral